Molecule: long non-coding RNA, 1798 nt
Filed under: Zostera marina
Lineage: Eukaryota; Viridiplantae; Streptophyta; Magnoliopsida; Alismatales; Zosteraceae
Description: long non-coding RNA (ZMAR_LNC000395)
Source: RNAcentral
UGCAUAGUACAUGGAACAGGGAUGCGGGAACGGAGGGCGUCCAUCCAAAAAAUAAGAAAGAUUCAUUUCCAAUGACGAUCAAUAUGCCAAAACAAAGAUCGUGCUCUAUCUGUGAAACGAAGGGACAUGACAAACAAGAGUAAGAAGAAUCCAUAGAAAUCACAUGUAAUUUGGAUAUUUUUCAUUGCAAAUCUAUGUAAUUUAUACAUUAUAUUGAAUGACAACUUGUUUUUCAAAGUUAGGCAGACAAUAUUGAUACCCCAGGUUUUCCAUAAAUUGUAAUCAUACAAACAAAACAACUAUUCAUAAUACCCUAGUACACAAACAAAUAUACCAAAUUCUAAAUAUCAAAUCAUUUCAAUCGCCAAACGUUGCCAUCAUACGAAUUCCAUCUAACAAAGACCAUUUUGCCGUAUUCAAAUCUUUGUCUAUUCCAUAUCCCACAUGACCUAAAGCUAACGCCUCAAUUGCCAAUAACAUUCGCAAACCAUUAUCGUCAUCUUUACAUUUAACCUGUGUGAACCUCGGCUCAACUAUUCUAUGCCAUUCCUUAUCUUCGAAUUUGUCAAAUCGUAAUGUCAGGUACGCAUUCAUCCAACCAGCCUACAUAUUGCAGGAAAACGCAUUCAUCCAACCAGCCUACAUAUUGCAGAAAAACUCAAUAGUGCAUAGUUCAUAGUGCAUAGUGCAUAGUGCAAAAAACUCAAUAGUUCACACAUUAACAAAAAACGACUAUAAUAGCAAAAAAGAGGGGGAAAAUAAUAGGUUAGAAUAAAAAAAAUCCAGAGUGACCACAUGAUAAACAGGGAGAAGUACAAAAAUGAUAAAACAUAAAUUGAUAGAUACAUAAACAACUAAAUUAGGGGGAAAAUUUACUCUUUUACAUCAUUAGGGAAAAACACUUAGAAAACAUAAGAAAAGCUCGGAAAGAAACCACAAGAUCCGGGCACAUUGCAUAGUGCAUAGUGCAAAAAACUCAAUAGUUCACACAUUAACAAAAAACGACUAUAAUAGCAAAAAACAGGGGGAAUAAUAGAUUAGAGUAUGAAAUUUCCAUAUGUGCACACAUAAGAGUAAGAGUAGAGAAGGAAAAAAAAAUUAUAAAGGAAAUGAUAGACCAAUAAACCCAAUAGGAGAACAUUAUAGAGGAAAUUAUAGAGGGCAGAAUCUAAAAAUGUCGAGAAACCCAUAAACUAAUUUGCGAUUUUAGAGGGCAGAUACACCAAAUUAUAGAGGGCAGGCAGAUACACCAACUUGGAAAAAAAAACUAAUUUGCGAUUUUAAAAAUUUUAGGGAAGAAAUCGUUGGCAGAGACUAUUUAGGAAGAAAUCGUUGAAAGUAUGGAAAAAAUACUAUUGGAAAAAUCAAAAAUAAUUUCGACGGAGUAUAGAUGAAGAAAAAAUGAACUACAAAAGAAACUGAACUUUAGGAUACUCACCUAAGCUUGGACAAUGGAGACCUCGCCGGUGCCUUCCCAUUACGAUCACCACUUGUGUUCGACAUGUUACUGUUGAAGACGACGACUUGAUCACUGAUCGGGAGAGGAAUGGGAGUAGAAAAACGCGCCGCUGCCUAAAAACCAAGAGAGAAAUAUCAACAAAUGGGAGGUGCUAAGGUUAGAGAUUAAAACUUUAGGGAAUCUAAAUUUCCACAACACCCAACCGUCCGCCGGUCACUACACUGUGCACUGUAUUAUCGCUGCCGGUGUGUACUAUCGCCGGUCAGUCAAUACUUUCGCUGUCAUAAACUUAGCAUCAAAGGUGCAAUUUCACUCCAACGGUUACAAUUAAUAGGCAUU